UACAGAGGUCUCAAGCGUUGUUCGGAUUCAUUGGGCGUAAAGGGCGCGUAGGCGGCGUGACAAGUCACUUGUGAAAUCUCCGGGCUUAACUCGGAACGGUCAAGUGAUACUGUCGUGCUAGAGUACAGAAGGGGCAACUGGAAUUCUCGGUGUAGCGGUGAAAUGCGUAGAUAUCGAGAGGAACACCUGCGGCGAAGGCGGGUUGCUGGGCUAAUACUGACGCUGAGGCGCGAAAGCUAGGGGAGCGAACGGG
RNAcentral lists this ribosomal RNA (253 nucleotides) under uncultured bacterium. Its description in RNAcentral is "partial 16S ribosomal RNA". It matches the Rfam family "Bacterial small subunit ribosomal RNA", at positions 524 to 776 of the family's 1533-position model. The record is from RNAcentral.